AAAAGAAAAAAAGAGAAAAAGGAAAGAGGGGUUAGGGUUGUGAAGAGGAGAAGAAGGAGACCCAAAGUGUUGCUCCAAAGUGUGAUUUUUCUUCAAUUUUUCCAUUGAAAUUCCUUAAAGCUGCAUUCAAUCCAAGGUACUCAAGUAUAGCUGUGGAAGUUUGUUGCUUCAUCGAGUCCUGUUGGUGUGUCGCUCUGAUACGUAGCACUCGGGGGGGGGUCGUUUAUAUCGCUAUUUCUAUGUUGUCGAUGUUUUUAGUUGUUGUUAUUAUAACCGUUGAAUCCAAGUUGAAUAAUAUGAAACACUUAUUAUACUUCCAAGUUGUUUAAGUUGAGAUAAAGAUGAUAGUCGACUGUUAUUCGAAUGCUAUGUAUCAUUGUUGAAUGAAAUACAAGUUGAAGUUAUAAGUUGA
Molecule: long non-coding RNA, 412 nt
Organism: Vicia villosa (hairy vetch)
Lineage: Eukaryota; Viridiplantae; Streptophyta; Magnoliopsida; Fabales; Fabaceae
Exons: 2
Source: RefSeq, a predicted model, not a curated record